AUGGCUGUGAGAAUCCUCUCAUUGACAUCAAGUUCUUCAGUCUGUGAAAGGAAUUGGAGUACCUUCGAAAAUAUACAUACGAAGAAAAGAAAUAGGCUAACUACAGAACAUCUAAACUCUCUUGUGUUCAUACAAUUCAACUCGAGAAUGAUGGCCAAGAAACAAAUGGUCAAGGAGAAGAAGAUCACUGAUGUCCUCUUAUCCGCUGAAACUACUGAAGCUCAAGGUUUUCUUUUUGAGGGCGGAUAUGAUUAUGCAGAAGUCAUCUAUAUGGAUAAAGAUGAGGAGGAGAUGAAUAGUACAGGGAUGUCAGGGAGUGGCAUUGGAGAAGCAAUGGGAGGCGAUGAACUGCUCGAGCCACGUAGAAGUGCGAGACCAAGACAACUUUAUGAAGAAGAAGAAUUUGAUUCUGAAGAAGAGGAGUUUCAUGAUGAGGAGGAGAUGCAUUCAGAUGAGGAGUAUGGCUAUUGA
This 471-nucleotide ribosomal RNA is filed under the name Triticum aestivum (bread wheat). RNAcentral describes it as "partial small subunit ribosomal RNA". Lineage: Eukaryota; Viridiplantae; Streptophyta; Magnoliopsida; Poales; Poaceae. The record is from RNAcentral.